GAUCCGCCCACCUUGGCUUCCCAGAGUACUGGGAUUACAGGCAGGAGACACCAUGCCUGGCCUUAGAUAUGCAAACUGAAGUUUAAAAAGCUUAGUUCUCUUGCCCAAGGUCUCAUAGCUAGUAAACAUAAAAGAAAAAAAAAAAAAACCUCAGUCAGAAUGGCAGCAUGGGAAGCCCACCUAACUCUCUUCUCUGAGUCCUUUGCCUAUUAAGAAAAACUCUCACCUCCUGGUCCAGGCACGAAACAACACUGUCUAUCCGACAGAGCCUGGGCUGGGAGCAGCACAGGGUCUAGACUUGCCUCUGCGUAGACCUCAGUGUAUUCUAAGAUCCUACUUUUCUUGGCCUGUUUCUCCAUCUACAAAGUGGAAGUCAUGUUCCUUGCCCCUCCCAGCACUUAAAGCUAUUAUAGAGAGGAAUGAGUUCAAAGGUAUGAAAACAUGUAGGAAGGAAAACGUACAAACGAUCUUCUAGAGUGACUUAUAAUAAAACUCUAGGCAUAUACCUCCAUGCUUAACUCCCUUCUUAGGCAUUCUCCUUUUGACUUCUAAGCAAGCAAGAUGUUCUAUCAUAAAAAGACAAUCAGUUGCAUUCACUGAAAGUAGAAAAAUGGACUCUCACAUUGAUGAAUGAUAGCAAACGACAAAGGCCGAUAUAGACAAGGUUUCCUGGUUAACCUUCAGUUCACCAAAAAGUCCUUUGAUUACAUCUUCUCUGAGCAUCCUAGUUAAUCAAGGCUUGUCGAGCAGAUCCUCACUCUCGGCUGUAAAGGCCUCUGCUCUUCCCCAUGUCCCUCUUCUUGUGCCCCUUAUAGUCUGCCCUUUACUCACUGCCCAGAUUGGACUCCUUCUCCCAGAACAGCAGGUAAAUUCAAUUAUCUUGGGGCUGAGUACGUAAAUUUUAGGCCUAGGCAUCCCUCCUAGAGACUCCAGAGUUGUCAGUUCCUUUAAAGUCAUUAAUACACAUAUACGGGUACGGAUGUGCUUCCACUGUGAUUCCACUCUUGGUGACAGCUGGGAAAGAGGCCCCACCACCUGACCCACCCGUCACAACACCCACCAUCCCCAUCUCAGACACGGAGCUCCAGAGACUGCCACCCUCCCUUCCCCUCCCCUGGGCCCCUCAGUGGCACCUCGAUGCUGCCAGUCUCUCCAGGCCUGCUGUGGCUUUUAGAAAACAGAGCAUGUCUAUUUUUAGCCCUUCUCAGCCUAAUAAUACUCCCCAACACCCAUUCAGCUUAAUCACUUUAUUGAGGACAAGAAGCGGGCUCUCUAGCCCGGGUGCUUCUGAUGUUAGGAAGUAGUAAAAUGUUCAAACUGGUUAAAAAUGACACUCAUUGGCUUGCCUUUGGUGUUUCUGAAACCUUAAUUGUGGCUCAGGCUGUGGAUCUAAAGAGCCUUGCAGGUUUCAGAGUCUGGCUUCCUUACCCCCUGCACCAUAAUUGAGGUGUUACAUUACAACUACGGCACUGACAUUUGCAGGCUCAAAAUUCAGCAGCCUUAAGAUGCCACACUUUUCAAAACAGAAAUAUUGCCUGCCACACUUAAUGCCUAUUCUAAGUACGAACCACCUCCCUGCCGGAAAAAAACAAACCAAAACAAAACAAAACUCGUCUUUUCUGGCUCCUCCCAUGCCAGAGGUCCAGGUGGGAAACUAUUUGCCAUAUUAAGCCCAUAGCUGCUUGAAAACAGAAAGGUUUGUUUGGUGUAAUUAGAAGACCUGCGAGUUUGGUGUGUGCAGGAAAUAGACUGUUGGCAGCUCUUCCACGUGCACCUUUGAGACCGUGACUUCCAAAGCUUCAGGGUGAGCAUCUGCAAACGUGCAAUCUGUACCACGUGAGCUGUGGGCUGGGAGAAAUGGGCAGCCUGGAAAGGGGAUGGAAACAACUUUGCCGCAGAGGUUAAGACCAGGGGCUUCAGGGUCAGGCAGCCCUGGGGUCACAGCGCAGCUCUGUCUCUUACUUGCUAGGUGAUCUUGGGCAAGUAAACUCAGUCUCCUCAUCUGUAAAAUGGAUGUCCUAACAGUACCAACUUGAAAUGGGUCUUGUGAGGCUCAAAUGAGAUGACGAAGUAAAGCAAUCUGGCACAGUACCUGGCACCUGUAGGCCUCCAGGAAAUGUCAGCUGCCACUGUCAUUAUCUCUGGUUUCCUCCUUUCUACCAUGGGCUCCUUCUAAGGCAAAGUGUUCAGUUUUUGUCUCUUCUGCCUUGCCCAGGACAAAAAGGAAAUCUGGGCACUAGAAUGGCUAACCAUGGCCAGCUGUGUGCGGUCGCAGGACAUUCUUGGACAUGUAGUAGGGAACUCCUAUGGACUCGGAGUGGGUAGAUGGAGCUGGACCCACAGCAGGAGGAUUGAGGGGAUGAUUUCUCAGGUUCCAUUCAGCUAAGCGAGUGAAAGGCACGUCCAAGGCCUGGAAACUCACCUGGACCAGGCUCUUCUACACUCCUGGGCAGCUUCCCCUGCUGCUCCUGUCUCCCUUUCCUUCCUUCUCAGGCAGGGUGCUUUGAAGCACCUUCAUAAACGUCCUGCUCUUCAGCAGGCAGAGGCGGAACGCCUCAUUAACUUUCCUAGCUAAUUUUACAAUUUAACCAAACACCACAUUUCUGCUUCGAUUCAGCCAGCCUCUGACUGUGACAAACUUUUAUAAUGUUGAGAUGGAGGAAGGAAGCAGAUAGUCCGUGCCAGAGACUGAGAUAAAGUUCUGAAAACUAAAGUGGGAGACGGAGAGUAGGAAAAAAAAAUAGCUCUGUGAACUCUAUGUAUGCUCCCAAAGCAGAAUUCUAGGCUGUGCAGGGCUGAGCAGUAGGGAAGAAAGCCACGCCGGCCUUGUGGUGUCAGAAAGAUGGAGUACUCCCGUGACAAUGACUCUUCCUGUCACCUUGGGGGGCCGGGGGCUAUAUCGGGAAGCACAGUUACAUGCUGUCCUCUGAGGGGCAUGAUUCAAUGCUGAUGGGCAGCAGGCCAGAGGUGAGGCAGGCCACCCAGAGGACACGUUCAGCUUGGCAAGGCCCCAGGGCCCCGUCCAAAGGGCACUGAAAGGCCCUUCCCAGCCCACUGAGCCGGCUCCUAGCUCCUGAUAGAGAUUCUGGAUGGGGGUGGAGUUCAGUGGGAGGACUGUAUGUCUAGGAAUGUUUCCCCAUCAAGAAUCCUAUGGGCUAGAAAAGAUCCCCAGGGUUGUCAUCACAGUCCUACAUACGCUGGUCCACGCUUUGCUCGGACAGGACAGACAGGACCUCAUUAGAGACAGAGAGUAUCAUUCGGCCUCAUUAUCUAUAAUCAGACCCUGCUCUUGGUGCAUAAAUAAGUAAUGAAGACAGUGCACUGUGAUUCUCUUUGCUCCCGGGUCAGCUUCAAAGGCUGCACCUGUCCCUCUCGAGCCUAUACUCCAGAGCUUCUGACUCCAGACCCCAAAUCUCAAUUAAUGCAAAACUGGCCCCCCAGCAGUGCUCUCUCAGAUGUGCUGGAUUAUGUCCAUUAGGCCCCAAUGAAGGCACUGGGAGAUCCGGGAUAUUCAGGCAAGAUAGUAGCCUCCCAAAAUAUCUGGUCUCUGGGCCUUUAUCCCGGGCUCAUAUUAGCAAAGGCAACUGAGGAAGGAAGACUCCAGCAAAUCCAAAGUUUCAGAGAGUUCUGUCUUUACCCGGAGUUACCUUGUUACUGAAAAUGACUGUGGUCUUUCAUAAUUACUCCAACAAAAAUGCAGCCGCCAAUGAGCUCCCUGUGCUCAAUUAGCUUAUAAUAGUCAGUAAGAGAGCUGCUGAAGUUUAAUCCAACUACCCCAGAAGACUUUUUAUCCCAACUACCUAAUGAAAACUUUAGAAUUUGCUUUUUUUUUUUUCCCCUUGUCCCAGGCAAGUGAAAGAAUUCCAAUCAAAACGGGACUGGUUUGGGGGAAGGAGGAGGGAGUGCGUUAACUACUGGGGAAAAGUCUGGAAGACAUGUCUUUGUCAGGUUGAAUCCUGGAGAGAGCCAACAAAAGGAGCCCCUGACUACAGAGGUAUCCGCCCCUCUCUCCCACUGGCUUCCAUCUACGCGGUGAACAAGCUCAGUCUUCACUAAAGGCAUACACAGGGGCUUCACCCACGUGGUCCGAGGAGGUGGGCUGGGGCACGUCCUGAGACCGUCCUCGGAUGCUUCCUCCAUUGGCCCUCCAGGGUGGCCAACUCUGUCCUCAGCCUCACCCAGAGGCAGCCCUCUGACCUGUCUUCUCAACCUAGGCUUUGUGGGGUUCUAGGUACUCGUAACAUAUUUUUUAGUCCAUCAAAUCCUAUAUGAGAAAUUUACAAUCUUCUGGGUCCGCAUCCAAUUUUAAGCCUUGCUUUCACAUGUGUUUGUUUUAUGGAUGCCUCAACUUGGAGGGGCCCCCUGAAGUGGCAGCUUUUCAUCUUUAAUGCAGUGUUUCUCAACCUCCAGGCCAAGGAGGCCCACAGCCAUCACAGGGAUUGGAGGACUCCCAAGUGCAAGAAACUGGGCUCUAAGUCUCUGCCAGGUGGCUAUGGGCGGAGGAGGAUGAGGAGGAAAGAGAUGCCUGCCUGGAUGGUUCUAGCUCACAGAAGUUCUUGCUUCCUCUUGUCCAGAAAGCCAAACCAUGCAUCCUGAGCCCUUCACUUCUUCAACAGAUAUUUCCUGAGAGCCUGCUAUGUGUCCCGCUGUGAGGAUGCAACAGAGCACACUACUGACAAGGUCCCCGCCUUCCAUCCUUGUCUUCUCAUCCAGAUUGCUGACUCCUGGGGCUGGAGGGAAGCAGGCAGCACCUCAGGUCUGUUCCUUACCAUGUGCCCAUCCGCAUGCCUGCUCACUCACCCAUUAGGUUAUUUUUCAAAUGACUGAGUUAUAACCACCAUUCAGGUUACUAAGCGAGGUAGUAUAGGGGACACAAAUAAAUCACAUGUUCUCAAGAAGCUUACAGUCUAGUAGGCAAAAAAGGCCAAGCAAAUAAAUAGCUAUGUAACAAAGAAGGUGACAGGUGCCAUAAGAGGGGAUAGAUAAAUGGCUAAGAGCGAUCAGAUGGAGGGCGGCCUCUUGUCCUGCCCAGACAGACACAUCCUAGGGCUGAGUCGGCUGACUUUUCAAAAGAGAAGAGAAAAAGGAACGCUCGCCGGUCGGGCACCAGGCCUAGCAUGGGAAACAGGCAGGACCUAUUUAAAACAACUAGAGCCAGGUUAGAGCCUUUUCUGGCAAGUCCCAAAACUCCUGGAGCUGAUCAGAUAACCAGAUAGAACCAAUACUGUCAAAAUCCUAUGGAUUUUAAAAAAUCAUUUAGCUGUUGCCGGGAUGAUAAAAGAAUCUUGCCAUUCAAAGGGAAGGUGCAGGCUCAGAGGAAGGAGGGGUCGCUGGGAGAGCAGGAGGGGGCUGGGGAGAAAAGGGAACGCCCUACAAAUAUAGAUCAGGGUUAGGGAGAAAAACCAGACGGCCAAGGACAUUUAUGCAUUGUGGUUGCUUUACUACCUAAUUAAUUCAGUAAUUUCAAAAACAAUUUUAUUUAUGUUCCAUUUACCACAUCAAAGGUGAAAAAAAUCCUACUGAUGCUAAAAUAAUACCUCAAGGCAUCUAUUUUUAAUCAGUUAAAAAAAAAAAAAGCAAGGGGUAGAGGGAGAAUUUAAAAAAAAAAAAAAACAAAAAAACUCGCCCUGGUUUCUAUACAAUCUCUCCUGGGCAGACCACCAACCCUCAGAGAGAGAGAGAGAGAGAGAAAACACAGCCAAGCCCUCUCUGAGAGCCUUCCUGGCUGCUGAAAACCAAGCUUGUCAAAAAAAAAAAAAAAAAAAAACCAAAAAAAAAAAAAACCACAAAUCCAUAAUGGCCCGAGGCUCCUCUCCAAUCUAUUUUCUGCUCAGCUGGUUUUAAAUGAAGUUAUUAUGAGUCAUUAAAACACCCGCAAGCCAGUGGAAGUCAGCCAAUUACAAUUUUAAAUUUAGCCUGUUCUCUGCCCCAUUCUCUUGUUUUCUUCCUUUGCCCACAGAAUGCUGCUGCUGUUAUUUUUUCCCUCCCUUCCUUUACCCAAAGUGAAAGAGACAGUUAUGAAAAUGCAUAGUAUUGCACGGAGCACAGAAUCAUUCAUAUGAAACUCAAAUUAUUAGACAAAAAAAUGCAAACUUCUGCCCCCUCCAAAGUCAACCCAAGCCUUGCCUCAGCCCACUGGAUUCCUCGGAAACUCCAGUCUGAGCCCCAAAGGUCAUGGGGCUAUUUUUAAAAUGAAAAGGUUCUUCAGUGGGGUCUUGUUGAGAAAUGUUCACAUCCAUCACACAAAAUCAACAUUUUCAUGGCUGAAUCCAAAAGGUAGAAACACACCACCACCAUCUGAGAAUUAAUAACAAACAAUGAAGUUGAAAUUCAAAGGUAAAGCAGGCUUUGCAAUCAAGCAUGAAUGUCGGUAGAAGUCACUCGAUAUGAUGAGCUCAUUUAGUUUUUAAAUCUUCAAGGUAAUGGUCUGUGCGGGCCCAUUACAGCAAAGGAACAAAUUUGAGUAUUUCAUGUAAAUGCUUCUUCUCAAUCUCUUUUUGUUCCCAUGCUUGGACACACAAACACACACAUGCACACAUGGUGUUCUGAUUAGGACUGUGUCCCCGAUUUCUAGGAGACACUGCAGCUUUUCCAUACCCUCCAACAAGUGAGUCCCUCUACCCAAAGGACUGUCCAAUCCUGCAAUCUUCACCAACCUCAUUUAAUGGAUGAGUCUGCAAGCUCCACAGAACAGAUGCCCAGAUGUCUGCAAACACCUUCCAUCACCUCCAGGCCCCCUCUCCCUCAUGGUUACACACACACACACACACACACACACACACACACACACACACACACGUAGACCAGUCCUCUGCCCCACGAUACUUGCAGUUCUAUGCCCCAAGAACGCAGGAGAGCCACAGCCACAGACCUAGGCAGUUGAACACCUGGGAGAGGAGUGAAUGCCAUGCCAUUUCACUGACAGUCACCGAGGGUUAGUGUGGAGGCCAGGAUGCUACCAAGAGUGGCUGCCUACCUGGUUGCUCUGGGUGAGCUGGAACUCAGGGUCCAUCCCUACCAAGCAACCUCACUGAGAAGAGCAUGUGAAAUACCAUGAUGUUUCCAGGCCCAUUGCGACCUGCAGCCAUUUGCCAAAGGCUUGACCUCUAUGGAACAUAAACCUGAGGCCUGUGAGCACAGAUGUCCCAGGUUCUGAAGGUCCCCAGAGCUGGGCAGAUGACACCCUCCUAUCCUCAGCCCUGAGCCACCCCACUAAGUAGUUCCAAGUGAGACCCCUCAACAGCAACCUCUCAAGUGGUUCACCCAGGCCUGUUCUCCCGGAAGCCAGUAAAGCUGAAGCUUCAGGCCUCUCCCUGGCACUGACCCCUUUCCUGGGAGAGGCUCUAACACCUGGUAUUUAUAAUCCUUUUCUGAGAGACAGCACCCAAAACUGAGUACGCUUCAGGCCCCACCAAACCCAGAUCUGCCCUAGUAGUACAAACACUUUUAUAACAGGAUAUUCAUUUAUUUGACAGAUACUAUCAGUGCACAACACUCCUAUGUACCAGGCACUUUGCUAGGGCAUGAGUAUGUGAGGGCAGCUGCUGAGUCCUGCACUCAGGUGCACAGUACUGGCCCAGGAGAGCACAGUACCAGCAAAGUCCAAUAAGGGCCUUGUAAAGCCUAACCCUGCUAAACUACUUGCCCAUUCUCAACACAACUGGGAUUUGGGGGGAACAUCCAGGGACCUGGGAAAAGCAGGGGCCAAGCCAGAGAAGCCCCACUCUGGCCCCUGAGAGGCAAGGGACAAGAGCACAUGAGAUUCUAGGUGCUGGGAGCAUUCUAGGGACACUGGCUCAAGAGUCCUCCCCUCUGGGGAGACCUCUGGGCCAGAGUGACAUUUUGUUUUCCAUUCCAACCACUGCCCAGCUUCCAAGCUAAAAAAAACUUUGAGGUGGUGGGUUAGGACAGGGAGGCAGGGAGGCAGGGAGAGACAGAGACAGAGACAAAGACAGAGAAAGAGAGAGACAGAGAAAAGACCAACGAAGACAGAUGGAGACAAAGACAGAUGAAGACAUAAGAAGGAAGACAGAAAAUACACAGGAGUGUCAAGAAAAGGCCGAGGCUGACACAGACACAAAGGACAGGGACAAAGAGAUGAAGUGAGAUGAAAGCAGAUUGGGGAGAAAUAGAAGGAGAAGAGAAGAGCUGAAAAAUAAAUACCUGCCACCACAGAGACCUGGACAAGAGCACUGAAAGUAAGGGCCGCAGUAGCGUGAUGGAUGCCCAAAGCAGGGUGGGGCCCCUCAGGCACAGCCCUGGAUACAGAUACCCAGGCCCAGCCUGGUUAGAGGGCUAGGGAAUGGGGCUGAGGGCAAGAGAAAGCACGGCCAGGCCUCCUAAGAACGCUUCCGGCAGGGUGUGUGUCUGCGAAGCCAAGGGAAGACGAAAAGGCCCUGGAAAUCAGAAAUGGCAUUGCCAUUAUCAGGUUGAUCCCACGUAAAUAUCCCUCCCCAAUAACCCCAUAUCUAUUCAUCCUCAGACAAUAACAAGGACCAGCAAGGCAACCCAGAACGUAGGAAGGAUGGCAGGAGCAAAGGAGAGGAAAGGGAGACUAGGAGAAUAAAUGGCAGACAGACAGAUGUCCCAGCAUCCAUCCCUCUAGGGCACCAUUCAUUUCCUAAUAAGACCGUCAUCCUCUAGCUGUGCAAAAUCAUGUGGUGGCAUGAGACAGGGUUUGUGUGGAAGAAACCACCCUAUGCUGAGAUAGAAAAAUCAUCGAGAGAGGGAGAAGGAAGAAGGUUAUUACAUAAUUUCCACUUUCUUCCCUCCACCCUCAAAGUAAUGUUCUAUCUGACAGGCUCCUCUCUGAGGGGGGAAAAAUGACAAAUCCAAUCCAAAAUUCAACAGCCUGUGUUCUGUUCAGAGAGCACACAGUGUACUGUACAGCCCAUAAAACUCCAAACAGCCUCCAGACACUGCCGCAAUCGUCCUCCAUCAAAACACUUUGUCUUGCAUACAAAAAUAAGAUACAGCGCUGAACAGAAUACAAAAUCAGCCCAUUACAGUACAGGGAGACUGCUACUUAGCAACGAGGGGGCUCUAAAGCCUCGAUGCUCUACAGGAAGCAAAAUCUGUCGAGCCUGUUGGGCAAACGAUAAACAUUAGCAGUAUUAAAAAACACAAAAGCCAUGUAAAUGGAUAGACAUAAUGUGGAAACAAAUUUAUAGAAUAAAUUGGGAUGGGGGAUUUGCGGGGUGGGAGGAGAUGCUGGGAUCCAGAGGGGUAGAUGGAACGAGCUUCCCCAACCCCUGCUAAGGCACCAUAUGGAGACAGAGACAUGUGUAUUUGGGGGCAGGGACAUGUGAACCCCCUCUUCACACAGGGGCUGUAGGUGAAGGGGUGGGAGAGAACUGGUGAAAACACUGUUUAAAACCAUGACCUGCAAUGAACUUUCCCAACUUUCUCGGUUCAGCUGGCCUGACUAGGACCGGGGGACCCAGGCACGCAAAACCGCAGCACUAAGGUGGCAGUUACGUGGGGGAUUUAUCUGCCCUGGGGCCAGCAUCGCACCCAGCACCAUCAUGGAACCUGAUACUUGCUGUAAACAAAAUCCCUGGCCAAAAAACAAAAACCAAAAAAAA
This 9584-nucleotide long non-coding RNA is filed under the name Homo sapiens (human). RNAcentral's name for it is "HSALNT0364949". The record is from RNAcentral. Lineage: Eukaryota; Metazoa; Chordata; Mammalia; Primates; Hominidae.